Molecule: ribosomal RNA, 468 nt
Filed under: uncultured bacterium
Lineage: Bacteria
Description: bacterial SSU rRNA
Rfam family: Bacterial small subunit ribosomal RNA
Source: RNAcentral
UCCAGACUCCUACGGGAGGCAGCAGUGAGGAAUAUUGGUCAAUGGGCUUACGCCUGAACCAGCCAAGUCGCGUGAGGGAAGACUGCCCUAUGGGUUGUAAACCUCUUUUGUCAGGGAGCAAUUGGCGCUACGUGUAGCGUUAUCGAGAGUACCUGAAGAAAAAGCAUCGGCUAACUCCGUGCCAGCAGCCGCGGUAAUACGGGGGGUGCAAGCGUUGUCCGGAAUCAUUGGGCGUAAAGAGUUCGUAGGCGGCACGUAAAGUCUGGUGUUAAAGGCAGAGGCUCAACUUCUGUACGGCACUGGAUACUUGCGAGCUAGAAUGCGGUAGAGGUAAAGGGAAUUCCUGGUGUAGCGGUGAAAUGCUUAGAUAUCAGGAGGAACAUCGGUGGCGUAAGCGCUUUACUGGGCCGUAAUUGACGCUGAGGGACGAAAGCCAGGGUAGCAAAUGGGAUUAGAUACCCGUGUAUA